Molecule: ribosomal RNA, 538 nt
Filed under: uncultured bacterium
Lineage: Bacteria
Description: bacterial SSU rRNA
Rfam family: Bacterial small subunit ribosomal RNA
Source: RNAcentral
AAUAGAUACCCGGGUAGUCCACGCCGUAAACGAUGCGGACUAGGUGUCGGGGUAUCGACCCCCUCGGCGCCGCAGCUAACGCAUUAAGUCCGCCGCCUGGGGACUACGGCCGCAAGGCUAAAACUCAAAGGAAUUGACGGGGGCCCGCACAAGCAGCGGAGCGUGUGGUUUAAUUCGAUGCAACGCGCAGAACCUUACCUCGGCUUGACAUGCACGUGGUACUGAUCCGAAAGGUGAGGGACCCGCGAGGGAGCGUGCACAGAUGCUGCAUGGCUGUCGUCAGCUCGUACCGUGAGGUGUUGGGUUAAGUCCCGCAACGAGCGCAACCCUUGUCCUUAGUUGCCUUCUCUAAGGAGACCGCCGGUCUAAACCGGAGGAAGGUGGGGAUGACGUCAAGUCAGCACGGCUCUUACGUCGAGGGCUACACACACGUUACAAUGGCCGGUACAACGGGCUGCGAAGGGGCGACCUGGAGCCAAUCCCACCAAAGCCGGUCUCAGUUCGGAUUGCAGGCUGCAACUCGCCUGCAUGAAGUCGG